This 146-nucleotide transfer RNA is filed under the name Candidatus Aenigmatarchaeota archaeon. RNAcentral's name for it is "tRNA-Ser". It matches the Rfam family "tRNA". From Rfam's summary of the family: Transfer RNA (tRNA) molecules are approximately 80 nucleotides in length. Their secondary structure includes four short double-helical elements and three loops (D, anti-codon, and T loops). Lineage: Archaea; Nanobdellati; Candidatus Aenigmatarchaeota. The record is from RNAcentral.
GCUGGGUUGGCCGAGUGGUUAAGGCGCAGGGUUGCUAACCCUGUGGGCUUCGGCCCGCGCAGGUUCGAAUGAACCUUUUACUCAAAAGCUUCAAUGGAAAAACAGUAGCUUACGCGUACAAGGUUCCGGGUGUCCUGCACCCAGCG